This 71-nucleotide transfer RNA is filed under the name Candidatus Woesearchaeota archaeon. Its description in RNAcentral is "tRNA-Lys". It matches the Rfam family "tRNA". Rfam says of the family: Transfer RNA (tRNA) molecules are approximately 80 nucleotides in length. Lineage: Archaea; Nanobdellati; Candidatus Woesearchaeota. The record is from RNAcentral.
GCCCCUAUAACUCAAUGGUAGAGUAGUUGACUUUUAAUCAAUUAAUCCAGGUUUGAGUCCUGGUAGGGGCA